GCGCCUCAGCGUCAGUUACUGACCAGAAAGCCGCCUUCGCCACUGGUGUUCCUCCACAUCUCUACGCAUUUCACCGCUACACGUGGAAUUCCGCUUUCCUCUUCAGUACUCAAGUUCCCCAGUUUCCAAUGACCCUCCCCGGUUGAGCCGGGGGCUUUCACAUCAGACUUAAGGAACCGCCUGCGCGCGCUUUACGCCCAAUAAUUCCGGACAACGCUUGCCACCUACGUAUUACCGCGGCUGCUGGCACGUAGUUAGCCGUGGCUUCCUCCUCUGUUACCGUCAGGGCCUGAGCAUUCCAGUCACAGGCUUGUUCGUCACAGAAGACAGAGUUUUACAACCCGAAGGCCGUCAUCACUCACGCGGCGUUGCUCCAUCAGGCUUGCGCCCAUUGUGGAAGAUUCCCUACUGCUGCCUCCCGUAGGAGUCUGGGCCGUGUCUCAGUCCCAGUGUGGCCGGUCACCCUCUCAGGUCGGCUACGCAUCGUCGCCUUGGUGGGCCGUUACCCCACCAACUAGCUAAUGCGCCGCGGGUCCAUCUGACAGUGAGGCAGAAGCCUCUUUCCCUCCAAGACCAUGCGGUCAAGGAGCCUAUCCGGUAUUAGCACUCGUUUCCAAGCGUUAUCCCAGUCUAUCAGGCAGGUUACCCACGUGUUACUCACCCGUCCGCCGCUAGGCUCCGAAGAGCCCCGCUCGACUUGCAUGUAUUAGGCACGCCGCCAGCGUUCGUCCUGAGCCAGGAUCAAACUC
RNAcentral lists this ribosomal RNA (749 nucleotides) under uncultured bacterium. RNAcentral describes it as "partial 16S ribosomal RNA". The record is from RNAcentral.